UACGUAGGGUGCAGGCGUUAAUCGGAAUUACUGGGCGUAAAGCGUGCGCAGGCGGUUUCUUAAGUCAGAUGUGAAAGCCCCGGGCUUAACCUGGGAACUGCGUUUGAAACUGGGAGACUUGAGUGUGGCAGAGGGGGGUGGAAUUCCACGUGUAGCAGUGAAAUGCGUAGAUAUGUGGAGGAACACCGAUGGCGAAGGCGACUGCCUGGACCAGCACUGACACUGAGGCACGAAAGCGUGGGGAGCAAACAGG
RNAcentral lists this ribosomal RNA (253 nucleotides) under uncultured bacterium. Its description in RNAcentral is "partial 16S ribosomal RNA". It matches the Rfam family "Bacterial small subunit ribosomal RNA", at positions 524 to 776 of the family's 1533-position model. The record is from RNAcentral.